GGGGGAUAUUGCGCAAUGGGGGCAACCCUGACGCAGCAACGCCGCGUGAAGGAUGAAGGUUUUCGGAUUGUAAACUUCUUUUAUUAGGGACGAAACUUGACGGUACUUAAUGAAUAAGCUCCGGCUAACUACGUGCCAGCAGCCGCGGUAAUAUGUAGGGAGCAAGCGUUGUCCGGAUUUACUGGGUGUAAAGGGUGCGUAGGCGGCUUUGCAAGUCAGAUGUGAAAUCUAUGGGCUCAACCCAUAAACUGCAUUUGAAACUGUAGAGCUUGAGUGAAGUAGAGGCAGGCGGAAUUCCCCGUGUAGCGGUGAAAUGCGUAGAGAUGGGGAGGAACACCAGUGGCGAAGGCGGCCUGCUGGGCUUUAACUGACACUGAGGCACGAAAGCGUGGGUAGCAAAC
This 401-nucleotide ribosomal RNA is filed under the name uncultured bacterium. Its description in RNAcentral is "bacterial SSU rRNA". It matches the Rfam family "Bacterial small subunit ribosomal RNA", at positions 356 to 773 of the family's 1533-position model. The record is from RNAcentral.